UACGGAGGGGGCAAGCGUUGUUCGGAAUUACUGGGCGUAAAGGGCGCGCAGGCGGCUGCUCAAGUCAGGCGUGAAAGGCCUGGGCUCAACCCGGGAAUUGCGCUUGAGACUGGGCUGGCUUGAGUGCGGGAGAGGAUGGUGGAAUUCCCAGUGUAGAGGUGAAAUUCGUAGAUAUUAGGAAGAACACCAGUGGCGAAGGCGGCUCACUGGCCCGGUACUGACGCUGAGGCGCGAAAGCGUGGGGAGCAAACAGG
This 254-nucleotide ribosomal RNA is filed under the name uncultured bacterium. Its description in RNAcentral is "partial 16S ribosomal RNA". It matches the Rfam family "Bacterial small subunit ribosomal RNA", at positions 524 to 776 of the family's 1533-position model. The record is from RNAcentral.